UACGUAGGGUGCGAGCGUUGCCCGGAUUUAUUGGGCGUAAAGGGCGCGUAGGCGGCUGUGCACGUCACAUGUGAAAUCGCCUGGCUCAACUGGGCGGGGUCAUGUGAUACGGGCUGGCUGGAGGCAGGCAGGGGAGAACGGAAUUCCUGGUGUAGCGGUGAAAUGCGCAGAUAUCAGGAGGAACACCGGUGGCGAAGGCGGUUCUCUGGGCCUGUUCUGACGCUGAGGAGCGAAAGCGUGGGGAGCGAACAGG
RNAcentral lists this ribosomal RNA (253 nucleotides) under uncultured bacterium. Its description in RNAcentral is "partial 16S ribosomal RNA". It matches the Rfam family "Bacterial small subunit ribosomal RNA", at positions 524 to 776 of the family's 1533-position model. The record is from RNAcentral.